This 208-nucleotide ribosomal RNA is filed under the name uncultured bacterium. Its description in RNAcentral is "partial 16S ribosomal RNA". It matches the Rfam family "Bacterial small subunit ribosomal RNA", at positions 568 to 775 of the family's 1533-position model. The record is from RNAcentral.
UGCGUAGGCGGCGCGGUAAGUCGGGUGUGAAAUCUCGGAGCUUAACUCCGAAACUGCAUUCGAUACUGCCGUGCUUGAGGACUGGAGAGGAGACUGGAAUUUACGGUGUAGCGGUGAAAUGCGUAGAUAUCGUAAGGAAGACCAGUGGCGAAGGCGGGUCUCUGGACAGUUCCUGACGCUGAGGUACGAAGGCCAGGGGAGCAAACGG